RNAcentral lists this long non-coding RNA (1158 nucleotides) under Heterocephalus glaber (naked mole-rat). RNAcentral's name for it is "lncRNA (ENSHGLG00100040155.1)". Lineage: Eukaryota; Metazoa; Chordata; Mammalia; Rodentia; Bathyergidae. The record is from RNAcentral.
GGGCUGUGUGCGGGGGGGGGGGGGGGGGGUUGAAGGGAGGAGCCACACCGGGCCCCAGCCCAGGGACCAGGAAUCUGUGCCAGGGCCGGGAGAGGAGCAGCCACGGGGCAGGCUCGGGGCCAGGCGGUGAGAGCUUCGAGGGCCUCCGGGCAGUGACAGAGACAGCAGGCACGGUGGGGGAGCUGCAGGUGGCAGUCAGGGGCAAGGCCCCCCGCCGCCUGCUGUGUGUCUCCUCGUCCUGCUGGGACUGGGACCCAGGGUGCCCAUGGCUGGGGACUCGAGUCGCUGAUUUGCGCCUGAAGGCCCCUCCCCGUCCUCCACCUCCCUGCUUGUGCACGGGAGGCUGCAGAGGGUACCCUGGCCUCACCCUCGCCCUCCACAGCAGGGCUGCCGCCGGCCACGCUCCUCCCCAGGCGCCGGCCCUCUCUGCUCCCCUGCUGUCCCCACGUGCACACGGGUGCUCUUCGUGCAGGAGAUGGGAGGGCCAGGGGAGGGGCUUUUACCCACGCAGGGCCUCGUCUGCAUCACUUCUGCCAUGCAGCCACAUUACUGUCUGACGCAGCCUCCCCACUUCCCAACUGAGCGGAAAGCACUCAGACACGCGUGCACAUGGCUGUGUGGUUCAUGGGACACGAAGAGGGAAACAGCCCAAGUGUCCACUGACAAAGAGAUAAGCAAAAUGCGGUACGCGGAGCUGCUGGAAUAUCACUCGGCCUUGAGGGAGAAUGCAAUUCUGAGACGGACACCGUGCCCAGAGCAAGAAGUCAGUCGCAAAAGAAAUGCUGUUGAGAUCCAGCCAUCCGCAGGACGAGUCAGAGCCAAACCCCCCCUCACAAUAAGCUCCUUCGGGGACAGUGUCUCAUUUCCAAGGGAGACCUGCGCGAGAAGACUCACAAACUGGAUUGUAAAUGCCUUGCAUAGAAAUGACGGAAACUGCACUGCACAGGCCUCAGCGACGCGGGCCCAGUCUGGACGCCACCGGGGCGGUGAACUGAUACUCUGUGGGAGAAGUUCCCUGGAUGACCUGCCUUGCUGGCUUCUCAGUGAAGGCCUGGCCUCAAGGCACCCUGAGGGGUGAGGGAGUCCGAUGUCGCCUCCACCUCUACUUCGUGUGCCGUGCACAGCCGGAGGGGAGCAGAGACAGAAAGGCUGGGGAGC